CAAAGGUUUGGUCCUGACUUUACUAUCAACUUUAGCUAAAUUUACACAUGCAAGUAUCCGCACCCCUGUGAGAAUGCCCUACAGUUCCCUGCUUGGGAACAAGGAGCCGGUAUCAGGCACACUCCUAUAUAAGCCCAUGACACCUUGCUUAGCCACACCCUCAAGGGAACUCAGCAGUGAUAAACAUUAAGCCAUAAGUGAAAACUUGACUUAGUUAAAGCUAAGAGGGCCGGUAAAACUCGUGCCAGCCACCGCGGUUAUACGAGAGACCCAAGUUGUUAGACACCGGCGUAAAGAGUGGUUAAGUUUGAACCUUAAACUAAAGCCGAACAUCUUCAAAGCUGUUAUACGCACCCGAAGACAAGAAGUUCAAUCACGAAAGUGGCUUUACCUCAACUGAACCCACGAAAGCUAGGACACAAACUGGGAUUAGAUACCCCACUAUGCCUAGCCCUAAACAUUGAUAAUAUUUUACAAUUAUUAUCCGCCCGGGUACUACGAGCAUCAGCUUAAAACCCAAAGGACUUGGCGGUGCUUUAGAUCCACCUAGAGGAGCCUGUUCUAGAACCGAUAACCCCCGUUCAACCUCACCCUUCCUUGUUUUCCCCGCCUAUAUACCACCGUCGUCAGCUUACCCUGUGAAGGCCUAAUAGUAAGCAAAAUUGGCACAGCCCAAAACGUCAGGUCGAGGUGUAGCGUAUGGAAGGGGAAGAAAUGGGCUACAUUCCCUAACCCAGUGCAUACGGACGACACACUGAAACACGUAUCUGAAGGAGGAUUUAGCAGUAAGCAGAAAAUAGAGUGUUCUGCUGAAAHUGGCCCUGAAGCGCGCACACACCGCCCGUCACUCUCCCCAAGCUUAUAACUACAAAUAAAUAAAACCCUWCAAYUGCAAAGGGGAGGCAAGUCGUAACAUGGUAAGUGUACCGGAAGGUGCACUUGGAAAAAU
Molecule: non-coding RNA, 949 nt
Filed under: Prionurus biafraensis (Biafra doctorfish)
Lineage: Eukaryota; Metazoa; Chordata; Actinopteri; Acanthuriformes; Acanthuridae
Source: RNAcentral